RNAcentral lists this ribosomal RNA (465 nucleotides) under Vreelandella stevensii. RNAcentral describes it as "partial 16S ribosomal RNA". It matches the Rfam family "Bacterial small subunit ribosomal RNA", at positions 338 to 795 of the family's 1533-position model. The record is from RNAcentral. Lineage: Bacteria; Pseudomonadati; Pseudomonadota; Gammaproteobacteria; Oceanospirillales; Halomonadaceae.
CCUACGGGAGGCAGCAGUGGGGAAUAUUGGACAAUGGGGGGAACCCCGAUCCAGCCAUGCCGCGUGUGUGAAGAAGGCCCUCGGGUUGUAAAGCACUUUCAGUGAGGAAGAACGCCUGGUGGUUAAUACCCAUCAGGAAAGACAUCACUCACAGAAGAAGCACCGGCUAACUCCGUGCCAGCAGCCGCGGUAAUACGGAGGGUGCGAGCGUUAAUCGGAAUUACUGGGCGUAAAGCGCGCGUAGGUGGCUUGAUAAGCCGGUUGUGAAAGCCCCGGGCUCAACCUGGGAACGGCAUCCGGAACUGUCAAGCUAGAGUGCAGGAGAGGAAGGUAGAAUUCCCGGUGUAGCGGUGAAAUGCGUAGAGAUCGGGAGGAAUACCAGUGGCGAAGGCGGCCUUCUGGACUGACACUGACACUGAGGUGCGAAAGCGUGGGUAGCAAACAGGAUUAGAUACCCCGGUAGUC